UUAGUAUAAGGUAGUUUUAGUUUUACAGUAUCUGCAAAUGUACUAAUAUUUAAUUAUUAUUAUAUUACCUUUUGCAUAAUGGCUUUAUUAAAUAUAUAUAUAUAUAAAUAUAUAUUCGCGAAAAUAUUUGAUCUAAUUAUUCUUGUAUAUUAGUUAUUAAUUUAGAUAUGUAACAUAAUAUUAUUAAAAUAAUAAUUAGGGGUGAUAGGCUUCUCAAGAAUAUUGAUAUCUUGAUUUACUAAAAAAGUAUUUAGUACUAAGACGUUCUAUUAAUCCUAAGGUUAAUAAAAGUAUAAAUAUAACAAAUUGAUUUUUGUACUAUUAUAACUUAAUAGUUUAAUAUUAAAAUAACCUAACAUAAAACAUUUUUUACUAAUAAAAUAUAUAGUAACGUAGAUUAAUAUAUUGUAAUUAUAGAUUCUGUUUAGAUUAGUAAACUAUAAUAUAAAUGUAAUGAACUCGGCAACAUUAAGUUCAACUGUUUACCAAAAACAUAAUUAUAUGGAAUAAAUAUAUAAUGUGUCCUGCUCAGUGAUUAUUUAAACAGCCGCAGUACUCUGACUGUGCAAAGGUAGCAUAAUAAUUUGGCUUAUAAUUGAAGUCUAGAAUCAAUGGAUUUUUGAGCUUAAACUGUAUCAUAUAAUUAAUAUAUUUAACUUAAUUAUGAAGUGAAAAUACUUCAAAUAAAAUAUUAGACGAGAAGACCCUUGAAAUUUUUAUAAUUUAAUUCAAGUAAAAUUUUUGUUGGGGCAACAUAGUAACAAAUCUUAAAUUACUUAAAAAUAUAUAUAAAGUUAAUAAACAUAUUAAAUAAAUUACUCUAGGGAUAACAGCAUAAUUUAUAAUAGCUUGUGACCUCGAUGUUGGACUAAGUAUCCUUAAUUCAGAAAAUUAAAGGAAAUGCUCUGUUCGAGCAAGUAUACUUACAUGAUCUGAGUUCAGACCGGCGUAAGCCAGGUCAGUUUCUAUCUAUAAAAUUCUAUUAUAUAGUACGAAAGGAACUAUUAAUAAUAUUAGUUAAUAAU
RNAcentral lists this ribosomal RNA (1025 nucleotides) under Cochlostyla marinduquensis. RNAcentral describes it as "16S ribosomal RNA". Lineage: Eukaryota; Metazoa; Mollusca; Gastropoda; Stylommatophora; Camaenidae. The record is from RNAcentral.